RNAcentral lists this ribosomal RNA (253 nucleotides) under uncultured bacterium. RNAcentral describes it as "partial 16S ribosomal RNA". It matches the Rfam family "Bacterial small subunit ribosomal RNA", at positions 524 to 776 of the family's 1533-position model. The record is from RNAcentral.
UACGGAGGGUGCGAGCGUUGUCCGGAAUCACUGGGCGUAAAGGGCGCGUAGGCGGCCUGAUAAGUAGGGGGUGAAAUCCUGCGGCUUAACCGCAGGGCUGCCUUCUAAACUGUCAGGCUCGAGCACAGUAGAGGCAGGUGGAAUUCACGGUGUAGCAGUGAAAUGCGUAGAGAUCGUGAGGAAGACCAGUGGCGAAGGCGGGUCUCUGGACAGUUCCUGACACUGAGGCACGAAGGCCAGGGGAGCAAACGGG